GAUGAACGCUAGCGGCAGGCCUAAUACAUGCAAGUCGAACGGUAAGGUCUCUUCGGAGAUACACGAGCGGCGCACGGGGGAGUAAAGCGGAUGCAACCUACCUUGAACUGAGUGAGGCAUAGCCCAGAGAAAUCUGGAUUAAUACUUCAUAAUAAUAUAAAACGACAUCGUUUAAUAUUUAAAGCUCCGGCGGUUUAAGAUGGGCAUGCGUGACAUUAGUUAGUUGGUAAGGUAACGGCUUACCAAGACAGCGAUGUCUAGGGGUUCUGAGAGGAUUUUCCCCCACACUGGUACUGAGACACGGACCAGACUCCUACGGGAGGCAGCAGUAAGGAAUAUUGGGCAAUGGACGAAAGUCUGACCCAGCCAUGCCGCGUGCAGGAUGAAAGCCCUAUGGGUUGUAAACUGCUUUUAUAUGAGAAGAAACUCCCCUACGUGUAGUGGACUGACGGUUAUCUUAUGCUUCAGGACCGGCUAACUCCGUGCCAGCAGCCGCGGUAAUACGGAGGGUCCGAGCGUUAUCCGGAUUUAUUGGGUUUAAAGGGUGCGCAGGCGGCUUAUUAAGUCAGUGGUGAAAUCUCUCGGCUCAACCGAGAAACUGCCAUUGAAACUGAUAGUCUUGAGUAUAGUUGUAGUGGGCGGAAUAUAGCAUGUAGCGGUGAAAUGCUUAGAUAUGCUAUAGAACACCGAUCGCGAAGGCAGCUCACUAAACUAUAACUGACGCUCAGGCACGAAAGCGUGGGGAGCAAACAGGAUUAGAUACCCUGGUAGUCCACGCCGUAAACGAUGAUAACUCGAUGUUGGCAAUACACCGUCAGCGUCCAAGCGAAAGCGUUAAGUUAUCCACCUGGGGAGUACGAUCGCAAGGUUGAAACUCAAAGGAAUUGACGGGGGCCCGCACAAGCGGAGGAGCAUGUGGUUUAAUUCGAUGAUACGCGAGGAACCUUACCUGGGCUCAAACGUAGAGUGACCGACUGUGAAAGCAGUCUUCCCUUCGGGGCAGUCUACGAGGUGCUGCAUGGUUGUCGUCAGCUCGUGCCGUGAGGUGUCGGGUUAAGUCCCAUCAAGAGCGCAACCCCUAUCUUUAGUUGCCAGCGGAUAAUGCCGGGGACUCUAAAGAAACUGCCUACGCAAGUAGUGAGGAAGGUGGGGAUGACGUCAAAUCAGCACGGCCCUUACGUCUAGGGCUACACACGUGCUACAAUGGCCAGUUCAAAGGGUCGCUACCUGGCAACAGGAUGCUAAUCUCUAAAUCUGGUCUCAGUUCGGAUCGAAGUCUGCAACUCGACUUCGUGAAGUUGGAUUCGCUAGUAAUCGUGUAUCAGCAAUGACACGGUGAAUACGUUCCCGGGCCUUGUACACACCGCCCGUCAAGCCAUGGAAGUUUGGGGUACCUGAAGUCGAUAACCGCAAGGAGUCGCCUAGGGUAAAACUAAUGACUGGGGCU
RNAcentral lists this ribosomal RNA (1447 nucleotides) under uncultured prokaryote. RNAcentral's name for it is "partial 16S ribosomal RNA". It matches the Rfam family "Bacterial small subunit ribosomal RNA". The record is from RNAcentral.